AGAAAAAUUAUUUUUUAAGACAGUAUACACACUAAAAAAUAAUUUUGGGGGACAGGAGUUGAAGCAGAUACAGCUCUUCAUGGAAUUUUACAGUGAUCCACAUGGGAGAUGGUGGUGAGAGAACAGGCUGGCUGGAGACACAUUCAGAAGGAAGACCCACAGAGCAUUCUUACAGGACAGAAGAGAGUAAUCAGAAGAGGGUUUCCAGUAUUUGAGCACCUGGAUGCGGUUGCACCGAGCUGUGGUCACUCAUUUAUUUUUAUGCUGUCUCCCUAACCACUGGGGAAUUAGUGGUCAGUUGGAUUGGAAGAAGUUUACACUGGAGGUGGAAAGAUGAACUGAUAAGUAUUUACACAGUGCCUGCAAGAAAAAGAGAUGGCAGUGCAGAUGGAGAGGACAAAAGCGGC
This 407-nucleotide long non-coding RNA is filed under the name Fukomys damarensis (Damara mole-rat). RNAcentral describes it as "lncRNA (ENSFDAG00000029933.1)". The record is from RNAcentral. Lineage: Eukaryota; Metazoa; Chordata; Mammalia; Rodentia; Bathyergidae.